RNAcentral lists this long non-coding RNA (560 nucleotides) under Equus caballus (horse). RNAcentral's name for it is "lncRNA (ENSECAG00000057130.1)". Lineage: Eukaryota; Metazoa; Chordata; Mammalia; Perissodactyla; Equidae. The record is from RNAcentral.
UGCGCCUGUUGCGGGAGGAGGAAAUGAAAAUUCAGGAAGGUCUAGUGAUUUGUACAAGGUCACAAAACAGGUGGCUAAGUUUGUGGUAACGUGGCCCGCAGCCGCAGAUCACACCAGCCCUCAUAGGCUCUGGAAGGUUUCGGUCAGCGUCUGCCACAGCGCAUUCUCCGUGACGUCUCUCACUGGAACCCCACGGGCCGCGGAGCUUCUCUGUUCAGUGGGGGUGGAGAAGAGGCCAAGGUUGGUGCAGAGUCACAGCGGGAACAGUGAGGGCAGGAAAGAAAAAUGAAGAAACAUUUGUUCCUAUCAGAGCCAAAUCAAUGCGAAUGAUUUUCCAGUUUGUCACUCCAACGGCUAAACCAAAGCAUUCCAGGCAGAUGGAAUUUGCCCCAUUGCUUAACGGGAAACAGUGUGGCAGGAUGAGACUCUGGUUCUUACGAACGGACAACUUCAGCUCCUUAAGACCUGAGACAUAGUCUGAACACUUAAGAAUGUGUGUCUGAUAGAACGCAUAAAUAGCAGUAUGUAUCUCUUUUAUUCUGUCAAUAAAAAUACGCCCU